This 1058-nucleotide long non-coding RNA is filed under the name Homo sapiens (human). RNAcentral's name for it is "HSALNT0030324". Lineage: Eukaryota; Metazoa; Chordata; Mammalia; Primates; Hominidae. The record is from RNAcentral.
UAGGGACUGGAAUUGUGCUUUAUGUCCACUUUAGGUGGGACUGGGACAGAUGAAAUGCCCAUAAAGGGCUUUUGAUUUCUGUGGCAAAAUGGUUUUAAAGCUCCACCCAGUUUUAAAGAAUUAUUUCUGGACUAAGUAUUCCUUGGGAGAGUCCUGCUGUUUCUCAGAGCUUCUCAUGUACUCCUUUUUCCUGUAUGAGUUAGAUCCCUAGCUGUCCCUGCUGGUGUUAACAAUUCUUCAUGGAGUUGUGUGCCGUUUGGCUGUUUUCCCGUCCUUACAUGUGGAUGUGGUGAAAUAGCCUUCCCAGUGGUGUAAAGUGACAUGGAGUGAUGGACCACAGUGGGAACCCCUGGAAAGAGGACCUGGGAAGACCCGAGCCGAGAUCAGAGUUCAGAUGUGAAACAACCAUUUCAACCAGCUUGGACAAAAGAGAGAAGCCAAGAUGGGGCUGAGAAACCAAUGCAGGCAGGCCCAGGGACCCAGGAGUCAGGGACCAGGUGCUACCAGAUGCUUGCUCCGACUCGUGUUGCUGCUGUCUUCUCUGUGCCUCAACUCUGUCCUCUGUCACUGCAGGCAGCUUCCUCCCAAGGUGAUGGAGACCAUGCCAUUGCUAGUCUACCUUGAAAGACAGAUGUGAAGAAUGAAGUCAGGGGCUUUGCAGGAAGGUGAUAUAUCCCACCUCAUGAAAUCAGGCUUCACCACAAGAUUGCUUUGACCAAGGGGACGUGAGUAGAAGUUUGAAGAACCACAGACUGGUCCAUCACCUUGUUUCUUAUCCCUCUGACAUAAGCAAUGUCCCAGACUGGGGCUGUUCUGUUAGCCUGGCUUCCAGAAUGAAGAGAGCUGAUCUACAUGGCAUAUGUAAGAUAAAUAAACCUUUGUUAUUACAAACCACUGAAACUUGGGGCUUCUUUGUCACAGCAGAUGAAUUUAGCCUAACUAUCCAAUACAGGUGUCUUGAGAAGAAACAGCAACAGGAGAAGAAGAAGAAACAGCAACAGCAACAGGACGAAGAGUUGUUUUGGGGGAAAAAAGGAUGAUCCAGGGUGAAAUGUAAU